UUUUGUCCUUUUCUUUUAUUUUACUUCCCUGUUGCUUGGUCCCGACUCCUAGCCAUUGUCCAUGCCAACCCCCUUCACCUCUGAGCAAAGAAAUCAGAGCCGUUUAUUUUUUCAUGAUUGAAUUUGCCUGUGUCCGAUUGUUUUGAGAGAAAGAAUUAUGAAUGCCUUCUACCUUUCGUUUUUCCACCUGGUCAUUGAUUCUGUGCGUUUUCAUUUUGUAGGGCGGUUUAUCUGGCACUCAGCAGAUUGUCCUUGAGGGACCUCUCUGUGAAGAUUAUUACAAGAUUCGUGAUUAUUUGUACUCUCAGUUUUAUUUGCUUUGAGAUUAGAUACAUAUGCAAUUCUACUUUUGGGGUAAAGAAGCCUGUGCCAUGUCCCGAUAUUCUGUUAUGAGCCAUCAAAAGCUUUUAUCUUAUAAACCAAACACAAGUGCCAUCACCACCUGCAGCAAUGGCUGUACAUUGUGAACGGCCAUUGCCACCGCUACAGUGG
This 492-nucleotide long non-coding RNA is filed under the name Eucalyptus grandis. RNAcentral's name for it is "long non-coding RNA (EGRA_LNC006225)". Lineage: Eukaryota; Viridiplantae; Streptophyta; Magnoliopsida; Myrtales; Myrtaceae. The record is from RNAcentral.